RNAcentral lists this ribosomal RNA (253 nucleotides) under uncultured bacterium. RNAcentral describes it as "partial 16S ribosomal RNA". It matches the Rfam family "Bacterial small subunit ribosomal RNA", at positions 524 to 776 of the family's 1533-position model. The record is from RNAcentral.
UACGUAGGGUGCGAGCGUUGUCCGGAAUUACUGGGCGUAAAGAGCUCGUAGGUGGUUUGUCGCGUUGUUCGUGAAAACCGGGGGCUUAACCCUCGGCGUGCGGGCGAUACGGGCAGACUUGAGUACUGCAGGGGAGACUGGAAUUCCUGGUGUAGCGGUGGAAUGCGCAGAUAUCAGGAGGAACACCGGUGGCGAAGGCGGGUCUCUGGGCAGUAACUGACGCUGAGGUGCGAAAGCGUGGGGAGCAAACAGG